RNAcentral lists this ribosomal RNA (400 nucleotides) under uncultured bacterium. RNAcentral's name for it is "bacterial SSU rRNA". It matches the Rfam family "Bacterial small subunit ribosomal RNA", at positions 355 to 770 of the family's 1533-position model. The record is from RNAcentral.
UAAGGAAUAUUGGUCAAUGGGCGCAAGCCUGAACCAGCCAUGCCGCGUGAGGGAUGAAGGCCUCUGGGCUGUAAACCUCUUUUAUCAAGGAAGAAGAUCUGACGGUACUUGAUGAAUAAGCCACGGCUAAUUCCGUGCCAGCAGCCGCGGUAAUACGGGAGUGGCAAGCGUUAUCCGGAAUUAUUGGGCGUAAAGCGUCCGCAGGCGGCCUUUUAAGUCUGUCGUUAAAGCGUGGAGCUUAACUCCAUUUAAGCGAUGGAAACUGGAAGGCUAGAGUGUGGUAGGGGCAGAGGGAAUUCCCGGUGUAGCGGUGAAAUGCGUAGAUAUCGGGAAGAACACCAGUGGCGAAGGCGCUCUGCUGGGCCAUAACUGACGCUCAUGGACGAAAGCCAGGGGAGCG